UGAGGAAUAUUGGUCAAUGGGCGAGAGCCUGAACCAGCCAAGUCGCGUGAAGGAAGACUGCCUUAUGGGUUGUAAACUUCUUUUAUACAGGAAUAAAAAGGCCUACGUGUAGGCCAUUGCAAGUACUGUAUGAAUAAGCAUCGGCUAACUCCGUGCCAGCAGCCGCGGUAAUACGGAGGAUGCGAGCGUUAUCCGGAUUUAUUGGGUUUAAAGGGUGCGCAGGCGGGCUUUUAAGUCAGCGGUGAAAUCUGGACGCUUAACGUCCAAACUGCCGUUGAAACUGGAGUCUUGAGUAUGGAUGAAGUAGGCGGAAUUCGUUGUGUAGCGGUGACAUGCAUAGAUAUAACGAGGAACUCCGAUUGCGUAGGCAGCUUACUAAGCCAUAACUGACGCUCAUGCACGAAAGCGUGGGGAUCAAACAGGAUUAGAUACCCUGGUAGUCCACGCCGUAAACGAUGAUUACUAGUUGUAUGCGAUAUGAUAGUAUGUGACUAAGCGAAAGCGAUAAGUAAUCCACCUGGGGAGUACGCCGGCAACGGUGAAACUUAAAUGAAUUGACGGGGUCAUAGCUGUUUCCUG
Molecule: ribosomal RNA, 579 nt
Filed under: uncultured bacterium
Lineage: Bacteria
Description: partial 16S ribosomal RNA
Rfam family: Bacterial small subunit ribosomal RNA
Source: RNAcentral